UGAGGAAUAUUGGACAAUGGGGGCAACCCUGAUCCAGCCAUGCCGCGUGAGUGAUGAAGGCCUUCGGGUUGUAAAACUCUUUUAGAUGUGACGAUGAUGACGGUAACAUCAGAAAAAGCUCCGGCUAACUUCGUGCCAGCAGCCGCGGUAAUACGAAGGGAGCGAGCGUUGUUCGGAAUCACUGGGCUUAAAGCGUGCGUAGGCGGAUUGGUAAGUAAGAAGUGAAAUCCCAGGGCUUAACCCUGGAACUGCUUUUUAGACUGCCUGUCUGGAAUUCGGUAGAGGUUGGUGGAACUCCUAGUGUAGAGGUGAAAUUCGCAGAUAUUAGGAAGAACACCGGUGGCGAAGGCGACCAACUGGACCGAUAUUGACGCUGAGGCACGAAAGCGUGGGUAGCAAACAG
Molecule: ribosomal RNA, 403 nt
Filed under: uncultured bacterium
Lineage: Bacteria
Description: bacterial SSU rRNA
Rfam family: Bacterial small subunit ribosomal RNA
Source: RNAcentral